GGGAAACUCACCAGGUCCAGACAUAAUAAGGAUUGACAGAUUGAUAGCUCUUUCUUGAUUUUAUGGGUGGUGGUGCAUGGCCGUUCUUAGUUCGUGGAGUGAUUUGUCUGCUUAAUUGCGUUAACGAACGAGACCUUAACCUGCUAAAUAGGAGCGCCUAUCUUCGGAUAAGCGCCUUUCUUCUUAGAGGGACUAUCGUAGUUACAUACGAUGGAAGUUUGAGGCAAUAA
RNAcentral lists this ribosomal RNA (230 nucleotides) under uncultured eukaryote. Its description in RNAcentral is "partial 18S ribosomal RNA". It matches the Rfam family "Eukaryotic small subunit ribosomal RNA", at positions 1208 to 1456 of the family's 1831-position model. The record is from RNAcentral.